This 67-nucleotide transfer RNA is filed under the name Betaproteobacteria bacterium PRO4. RNAcentral's name for it is "tRNA-Gln". It matches the Rfam family "tRNA". From Rfam's summary of the family: Transfer RNA (tRNA) molecules are approximately 80 nucleotides in length. Their secondary structure includes four short double-helical elements and three loops (D, anti-codon, and T loops). Further hydrogen bonds mediate the characteristic L-shaped molecular structure. tRNAs have two regions of fundamental functional importance: the anti-codon, which is responsible for specific mRNA codon recognition, and the 3' end, to which the tRNAs corresponding amino acid is attached (by aminoacyl-tRNA synthetases). tRNAs cope with the degeneracy of the genetic code in two manners: having more than one tRNA (with a specific anti-codon) for a particular amino acid; and 'wobble' base-pairing, i.e. permitting non-standard base-pairing at the 3rd anti-codon position. RNAcentral also lists the same sequence under 1 other name. The record is from RNAcentral. Lineage: Bacteria; Pseudomonadati; Pseudomonadota; Betaproteobacteria.
GGGAGUCGCCAAGUGGUAAGGCACCGGAUUUUGAUUCCGGCAUUCGUAGGUUCGAUCCCUACCUCCC